GCACGUAGUUAGCCUGUGACUUCUUCUUCCGGUACCGUCAUCCACACAGGUUAUUAACCCGUGCGUUUUCUUUCCACGGCUGAAAGAGCUUUACGAACCCGAAGGCCUUCUUCACUCACGCGGCAUCGCUGGAUCAGGGGUUGCCCCCAUUGUUCAAAAUUCCCCA
Molecule: ribosomal RNA, 166 nt
Filed under: uncultured bacterium
Lineage: Bacteria
Description: partial 16S ribosomal RNA
Source: RNAcentral